Molecule: non-coding RNA, 639 nt
Organism: Penaeus vannamei (Pacific white shrimp)
Lineage: Eukaryota; Metazoa; Arthropoda; Malacostraca; Decapoda; Penaeidae
Source: RefSeq, a predicted model, not a curated record
ACUAUUUAUGUAUUUAUGUCCCCAGGGGAGCUCUACACCUCGGAGAAGCAUGGCUCAGAUGAGACGGGGGAUGGUACUGCUGACCGUCCCUUGAAGACGGCCAUGCAGGCCAUGCGCAAGGCUGGCAAGGAGCCUUUCCCCACCAUCUAUGUUGACGCUAAAGAGGAAGGACAGAGUGAGGGGCCCAAGGUGUCGGGCAGCAGCAAUGCAAUAGCCGACAUGGCUCCUUGCCUGCAAGCGCUGGACAUGCAUUUAUGUGAGUCCAGUUACCUUGCAGGCCACCCCGACACAAGCCGACACUCUCGCCCACCAGCGGCUAAGAGGGGGAGCCAUAGCGACAGCAGAGACCCAAGGUGGAGACUCCCAUGGCUACCCCCAUGUCGCACGCUGGUGGAGACACAUUGAGAGUUUUGGCAGCGAGAGGGAGGGGUUUCCUUCUGCUGACCCUGCUGUUCUGGAGCGGUUUAGCUUAGGGGAUGUAUGUUUAUCGCAGAAAUACGAAGUGAUUGCGAAGAGUCAGUUGAAGAAGCUCACAAAACUCUGGAAAGAUGAGUGCAAAAAGAUUGAAGCUCGGCUCAAGAAAGAGAAGGAAGAUGCUGAGAGAGAGGGCGAAGGCCAUUGAGGAAGCCAAGAAGGUCG